RNAcentral lists this ribosomal RNA (858 nucleotides) under uncultured organism. RNAcentral's name for it is "bacterial SSU rRNA". It matches the Rfam family "Bacterial small subunit ribosomal RNA", at positions 54 to 955 of the family's 1533-position model. The record is from RNAcentral.
CAUGCAAGUCGAACGCAACCUUCGGGUUGAGUGGCGGACGGGUGAGUAACGCGUGAGAAUCUGCCUUGGGGUCGGGGACAACCACUGGAAACGGUGGCUAAUACCGGAUAAGCCUUUGGGUAAAAGAUUUAUUGCCCCAAGAGGAGCUCGCGUCUGAUUAGCUAGUUGGUGAGGUAAGAGCUCACCAAGGCAGCGAUCAGUAGCUGGUCUGAGAGGACGAUCAGCCACACUGGGACUGAGACACGGCCCAGACUCCUACGGGAGGCAGCAGUGGGGAAUUUUCCGCAAUGGGCGAAAGCCUGACGGGGCAAGACCGCGUGAGGGAGGAAGGCUCUUGGGUUGUAAACCUCUUUUCUCAGGGAAGAAGCUCUGACGGUACCUGAGGAAUCAGCCUCGGCUAACUCCGUGCCAGCAGCCGCGGUAAUACGGAGGAGGCAAGCGUUAUCCGGAAUUAUUGGGCGUAAAGCGUCCGCAGGUGGCGAUUCAAGUCUGCUGUCAAAGCACGGGGCUUAACUCCGUUAAGGCAGUGGAAACUGAAUAGCUAGAGUGCCGUAGGGGUAGAGGGAAUUCCCGGUGUAGCGGUGAAAUGCGUAGAGAUCGGGAAGAACAUCGGUGGCGAAAGCGCUCUACUGGACGGCAACUGACACUCAGGGACGAAAGCUAGGGGAGCGAAUGGGAUUAGAUACCCCAGUAGUCCUAGCUGUAAACGAUGGAUACUAGGUGUAGCUUGUAUCGACCCGAGCUGUGCCGAAGCUAACGCGUUAAGUAUCCCGCCUGGGGAGUACGCACGCAAGUGUGAAAACUCAAAGGAAUUGACGGGGGCCCGCACAAGCGGUGGAGUAUGUGGUUUAAUUCGAU